Molecule: long non-coding RNA, 2308 nt
Filed under: Sorghum bicolor (sorghum)
Lineage: Eukaryota; Viridiplantae; Streptophyta; Magnoliopsida; Poales; Poaceae
Description: long non-coding RNA (SBIC_LNC006315)
Source: RNAcentral
CCUCCACAAGUUGCAGGUUCAGAGUAAAUCUUCAAAUUAGAACACUAAUGUCCAAAACUCGAGAGAGUCUAACGUUGAAAUCUAGGUAGUUGUAAAGAUCUAGAACAGAGCAACUAUUCAUCAUCUCUAAGACAAAAUUUCAAUGUUCAUAAAUUUUUAUUUAGCUCUAGUUUAAAUUGACUCUAAACAGAUUCUAACACUUAGCUAAUUAUAUACUCACAAGAAGACUCUAUGACUUGUGGACCUUCAUGUGCCCCCAUAUUUUUGGUAAUUUUAUGACUAUAUAGACUCAAAAAUUGCUUAGGUAUAAUUACCUGAUAAUUAGGGGAUGCUCCUCCCACAAGCUGGAUGGUUGCAAUACUUGGUGUAGAUGUCCUUUAGAGUGAGCUAACUAGUAGCGGACCUGGUGGGUGCCACUGAUAGACUCUCUCCUUGUUAUGAUGUUAUUCCUGCAUAAAUACUCUCCACAAAGAGAAACCAAAACUUGAGGCUCGAAUUUGUUAAUGGGUUAGCGGUCAGCCAAAGAUUAAUUGAUCACCUUUAUGAGCUAGCUUUAUUGUUGUCUAAUUUAAACAAGAUUUCAAUUUUCUCUUAUUUUUUAUUUUUCUAUUUAUGAUGUAGGAAUUUAAAUAUGAAUGCUAUAUUUUUUCAUUUUUAUUUUAUAUCACCACAGCAGAUGUUCCUUCAAAAAAUACCAUAGGGUAUCCACAUGGGGCUUUGUGAUGCCAUGAGUAAUGCAGUAAAUAUUUUUUGUUGUUUUUAUAUCUUUUAGUGUGUAAAAAUUAUGCUACUAAAUAAAUUACAAAUGCAUUUGAAGAGAUAACUACCAUUCUAACCUUAUGGCUAGGGUAUGGAAUUUAAAGUCUACCAACAGGGCUUAGAUAGAGGAGAACACUUACUCUAUGGGUUCAUCGUUUGAGGUAACCUCAGUCAACUCCCUAUUUCGUGGUGAUGCCGCACAUGCCUUCUUCCAUCUCGUUUUUGUCUCUUUUUGCUUCUCUCUUUUCUAGCUCCGGCUCUUUAGCUUUAUUCUCUUUCUCCCACGCUUCUAGCCAUGCUGAUAGCUAGGGGAUGUUCUCCCCCAAACUAGAUGUUUGCUUAUGGUUGAUCGUUGAAGCUGAGUGGUCCUCAUGGAGGAGCUCAUGCUUGUAAGAGCAAGUGUUGCCUGGAAUACUUCAAUCUCAUUACCCAAGAAGUUACUUCAUUCAUACAGGGUCAGCUAUAUGUUAGAAAGGUGUACUUCAUGUGAUGAAGAUGAAGAUUCCUAGGUAAGCUGGCUCUUGGAGUCAUCCUGCAGAAAGCUCUCACAAAACACCAAAACUCGUGGAACGGUAUUAGGAUAAAACGUUAAUGAUUAUCAUUUUUAGAGGAUUGGGUGUUGUGGUGGUUUCAAAGUAUUUUUAAGACAGCAGUAUUGCAACAGGAUGCUCAGUUAAUAUUUUUUUGGAUUUUAUGGGUUUAUAAAGUGCAAAUGCAUGAUAUAUAUUUUUAUUCUAUAGGCCACCACAGUGAGAACUCCUACAGCUUUUACACUACAAGAGUUUCACAUGGAGCUUAAUAUUUUUUUAAGAUGCAUGAAUGUAGCCUAAUGCAAGACUAUUUAUUUUUGUUAUUUCUAUGCAUUGCCAAUAUAGAAAGGUAAACAUACUAAAGAGAAAUUAACUCAUACAAUGUAAGGAAGUAGAUAUAGAUAACUACAGAUGUUACCUUAUGGUGAGGGUUUGAUGUUUUUAGUCCUUUGAACUGGACUUCUCCUUGCAGUGGUUCAUUGAGUACUUUGAGUUGCUCUUGACGGUAAGGAUUGAGGUGGUGCCUCUACUAGUGGCUCCCAAUAGCGGUGCCACCUUAUUUCUUUCUGUUGUAGGCAUCUCAAAGCCAAUCUUAUGUGCAUCAUUAUUACUAGUUGAAAACUUUCAUAAAGACGAGGUAGAGAUCAAGUGCACGGGCUCUGUUGGUGGGAAAACACCAACAGAAACUAGAAAUUUAUUUAUCCUCUAUCCUUGGGCACAAUAAGAUUGAUAUUAUUCAUAUUGUUCCUUCCUAUCAAUGAUGAGAGGACCAGAAGUAUAAAUGUGAUAUUUAAACUUGUGAGAUAAAGAGUAAAGUUACUUAACCAUUAGAAAGGAUAUUCAUCUUUAUAAUAUAUCAAGAAUAAUAGAUGAAGUAUUUCUAGCUUACUUGGUUAAGACUAAGAUUACAAGAAUAGCACCAUGAACAAACUCAGGGAACAAAUCAUGUUGAGUUUAAUCAGGUUGAUCAAUUUAAGUUGUAACUCUAACAUGGUUGUAUUUUCAUUUAUUGCAUACCA